UUUAAGUGCGGUCAUAAGUUUCCAUACAUUUAUUUGACUUUUUUUUAUGUUUAGUACAUUUAUUAUUAUUAGAUGAUAAAACAUGAAUAUUACUUUAUGCAUGACUUAUGUUCUUAAAUUUUUUUCAUAAAAUUUUCAAAUAAGAUGAACGAUCAAGAUUUGAUGCGAAAACUUAUGAUCGCGCUUAAA
Oryza glaberrima (African rice) is the source of this 189-nucleotide non-coding RNA. The record is from Rfam. NCBI's taxonomy places the organism in Eukaryota, Viridiplantae, Streptophyta, Magnoliopsida, Poales, Poaceae.